RNAcentral lists this ribosomal RNA (333 nucleotides) under uncultured bacterium. RNAcentral describes it as "bacterial SSU rRNA". It matches the Rfam family "Bacterial small subunit ribosomal RNA", at positions 568 to 898 of the family's 1533-position model. The record is from RNAcentral.
CUCGUAGGCGGCCAACUAAGUCAGACGUGAAAUCCCUCGGCUUAACCGGGGAACUGCGUCUGAUACUGGAUGGCUUGAGUGUGGGAGAGGGAUGCGGAAUUCCAGGUGUAGCGGUGAAAUGCGUAGAUAUCUGGAGGAACACCGGUGGCGAAGGCGGCAUCCUGGACCACGACUGACGCUGAGUGAGCGAAAGCCAGGGGAGCAAACGGGAUUAGAUACCCCGGUAGUCCUGGCCCUAAACGAUGAAUGCUUGGUGUGACGGGUAUCGAUCCCUGUCGUGCCGAAGCUAACGCAUUAAGCAUUCCGCCUGGGGAGUACGGUCGCAAGGCUGAA